Non-coding RNA from Bactrocera oleae (olive fruit fly), 980 nucleotides. The record is from RefSeq and is a predicted model, not a curated record. Lineage: Eukaryota; Metazoa; Arthropoda; Insecta; Diptera; Tephritidae.
CUUUACCUAAUAUUUAUGGUAUGUACUAAGUAUUCAAUUUACAAAAUUAAUUAAUUAUAUAUUUAUAACACAUUAUUAUAAUAUUACAAAAUACAAACUAAUUGCAAAAAAUUCCUACUGGGAACGCAUACAUACAAUGUUCAAUUGAUACAAUUACGCUCGCACUUAUGCACACCACCCAGUCAAACCAAAAGCUUCAUACCCGUAAUCCAUCCACAUACACAUACAGUUAGGUAUGAACUAAUGUACAUACAUACACACGUACAUACCCCGCACUGUAGGCGAACAUAUUGCGCACCGCACUUCAGCUACAGACUUCGGGCUAGAUUUUGCACACGGCACCUCGUAACUCCUACAGACGAGCCCCGAUUCGAGAGUUUUGAUGUGUAUAAAACCGAGAGGAGCAACAACGAGUCGAUCAGUGUAACAACAUUUGGCGUUUACAAAGCUAAACUUGAGUGAUUAACAAAAUAGAGUGACUAGCUGAUAUUAGCUAAAAGAUUCAAAUUUUUUUUCAAGUGUAGAAAAAGUAUAAACAAAUUAAAUCAACAAGAAUGCCUUGCCCAUGUGGAAGCGGUUGCAAAUGCGGUUCGGAGCCUAAGACUGGCAAUUGCGGUUGCGGUUCGGCGUGCAAGUGCUGUCCCUGUGGAAGCGCUUGCAAAUGCGGUUCACAAUCACAAAGUGGCAGCUGCGGUUGCGGUUCGAGCUGCAAAUGUGGCCAAUAGAGCAAUACAUAUAUCCCAUAACAUUCACUGAAAUAGGCUUACUUUAUUAUGUUUAAGUCAUAUAUGUACAUACAUACAUACAUACAUAAGUAUUUUUAAUUUAUUUCCAUAAGUUAAUCGCGUAAUAAUAUAAGUACAUACUUUCAUAGAAUCAGAAACACUUGUUUAUGCAUGCAUUAAUGCAAAGCUUGUUGGUUUGAUACCAAAAAGAGUAUUCUCAUCAAUAAAUAACAGAAAGAAAACUAAUUCCUCUAA